This is a small nuclear RNA of Pipistrellus kuhlii (Kuhl's pipistrelle), 171 nucleotides long. RefSeq annotates it as U1 spliceosomal RNA. NCBI's taxonomy places the organism in Eukaryota, Metazoa, Chordata, Mammalia, Chiroptera, Vespertilionidae. The record is from RefSeq and is a predicted model, not a curated record. The transcript has a single exon.
AUACUUACCUGGCGGGAGGCGGGGAGGAGCGAGAGGGGGCAACAUGACCACAAAGGUGUUUUCCCAGGAAGAGGCUUGGCCAUCGCUCUCUGGAUGUGCUGACCCCUGCGAUUUCCCCACAUGGGGGAACGCGACUGCAUCUUUGUGAUCGUGGGGGACUGCUCUCCCCUG